AACGAACGCUGGCGGCAGGCUUAACACAUGCAAGUCGAACGGGUGUAGCAAUACAUCAGUGGCAGACGGGUGAGUAACACGUGGGAACCUUCCUAGGGGUACGGAACAACUCAGGGAAACUUGAGCUAAUACCGUAUACGUCCGUAAGGAGAAAGAUUCAUCGCCCCUAGACGGGCCCGCGUCGGAUUAGGUAGUUGGUGGGUAACGGCCUACCAAGCCUACGAUCCGUAGCUGAUCUGAGAGGANGAUCAGCCACACUGGGACUGAGACACGGCCCAGACUCCUACGGGAGGCAGCAGUGGGGAAUCUUGGACAAUGGGCGCAAGCCUGAUCCAGCCAUGCCGCGUGAGUGAAGAAGGCCUUAGGGUUGUAAAGCUCUUUUACCAGGGACGAUAAUGACGGU
RNAcentral lists this ribosomal RNA (403 nucleotides) under uncultured bacterium. RNAcentral describes it as "bacterial SSU rRNA". It matches the Rfam family "Bacterial small subunit ribosomal RNA", at positions 29 to 458 of the family's 1533-position model. The record is from RNAcentral.